UCAGUCUCUCUGUGCAUGCCGGGUGGUUGGGUGUCUGGAGUAGAGUGAACCUCGCUGGUUUUUAAUAGCAAAUCAAAUAUAAAAUGUACUACAAAUUCAGCGGGUUCCCCGGGAGACUGAGCGGAUCUAAGCCGGCUCUCGCCUACUGCCCUCAGGGGCUGAGACCAGGUGUGCCUUCGCAGCCCCAGCCCAUGAUGUUCACCACUCCGACCAAAGUGGCAUCGCAUUCAGGAGAGAUGGUGCAGUACCUGAGGGCCAACAGAGUCCCUGACCUGCAGAGGCUCUUUCAGAGUUCUGAUGGAGUCCCUGUCCACCUGAAGCGGGGUGUUCCUGACAAGCUGCUGUACAGGACCACCAUGGCACUGACGAUAGGCAGGCUCAGAUGGAACAGAUCUGUAAAUGGUGUAAUUAGUAAAAGCAGGCAGCUGUCUCUGGAGAAGGACCCUGUUCAUGAUUCAGUAUGAAACCCCAUGAUUCCUGCUGAAGUGUGAAGCUCAGGGGAGCUCGGUCCACCGCACACACACACACAGCCUGGAUGGGGAGUACAGAGGAACAGACUGAGCCAUUUCUUAUAGCUUGUGACAGUAAUUAUGAGCAUUGUAAGUGUGUCCUAUUUCUGGAGUGACCCCUGGUACCUGUCCAUCCAUGGGGAGUUAGCUGAAGAGGUGACAUUUCAAAGUCAGUCGUUUACCAUAAGGAACAAUAAAAACACUUCUGUUUUGUUUUUUCUUUUCAUUUCUGGCAAUAGGGAAGUAAGUUUCAACACGAGAUGUCGCCUUGUAUGUCUGACUGAAACCACAUCACUUUAAAAACAGAUGCUUUUUGGUUGAUUUCCCAUUUUAUCUAGUUUUAAAGGUUUUCUCCCCUAUCUCCCCUAUCUCCCUCUGUCCUUUUCUUUCACAAUAAUCAAGCUGAGAUUUCCCUUGGACAUGACAAUGCUUUCCUUCGAUAUACUUCUUCUGAGAAAUACUCUCCAUGUUUUAUUGUGCUCUGAGCAUGCCUGUCAGAAUUCCCCAUUGGCUCUGAAUGUGUUUAUGAUUAGAUAGCCUGUAGUUUAUGAGUCGUGGUUAAACAUGUGAUCCAUCCAUCCAUUAUCAUUAACUGCUAACAAAACAUGGUGUCCUAACAUGCUGCUCAGCUACUCCCCCCAAGCCUAAGCCUAAGGCCUGCUUCCCAAAGAAACUCAAAACACCAGGAGCGACUCACAUUCACAGCUCUAGCAGCUCCUAUUAAACCAUGCUCACUGCCCCUGAGCUGCCCCACACACAACACAGGUGCAUUGCUCAGACAGGGUGUGCUACCCAGCAAGUCCUCAAGGCUCUGGUGAAUCCUACACCUCCCAGGGGGGAUCUUCUUUAAACAGUGUUACCUUCUCUCCAGAGGGAGCAUCCCCUCAUUGCAGCCAUGGAAAGAUCAUGGAGACUAGAGAGAACCUGAAACGUCAGUGUUAACCGUGCACUCCUGUGGGGUCAGAGCACAGACCGUGCAACAGCUGGGAUCAAAUGUCAAUCCUUUGCAUUACAAGUAUGCAUUCAUGAGGCAACAUGAGUUCAAGUGUCUGGAAGUGAAAGUAGAGGCAGCGAGUGAAAGUUAUCCCUCAAGUGUUAAAGCAUCUAAAGGUAACCCCUGUGUUCAGGUGGACCAGACUGACAGGUUCACUUGUUUGAAGGAAAUGUUUGAAGGCGCUGAUGCCAUAAGUACAACCACUAUUGGACGCAUAUGUAAAAGGCACCAAAUAAGUAGGAAACAGAUUGAUUUGGUGCCUUUUCAAAGAAAUGAGGAGAGAGUGAAAGCAUUGCGAUGUGAAUAUGUUCAGAGAAGGAUGGAGUUGGAUGAGGGAGUUAACUAUCAUGAGUUCCUCUAUUCUGACAAAGUGGUCUUCAGUCUGGCAGUGGGACGGGAAUAUAAUAAUGUGUGAGGCCAUAUCACAAGAUGGAGUUAUGGCACACAGUCCUGUGCCAGGGCCAUACAAUUCAGCCCAUCUGCUGAAUUUUUUUAAUGUUCUGCAUAAUCGCCUCGUUCAUCCAAAUGCUGGAGUUAAAUUUGUGGUAGUCUGGGACAAUGUCAAUCUCCAUCAUGCAUUGGUAGCACAAGCAUGGUUUGCAGUGCAUCCAGACUUCAGCAUGAUGUUCCUACCACCAUAUUCCCAAUUUCUCAACCCUAUAGAGGAAUUUCUUUCAUAGUACUCAAAGAAAUGAAAGCAGUUAUUUACAAACCACUAACCAAGAUCAUGUAACAGUC
This is an RNA transcript of Polyodon spathula (Mississippi paddlefish), 2241 nucleotides long. It is a transcript of the gene named cytochrome c oxidase subunit 7A-related protein, mitochondrial-like, with no coding region annotated. The record is from RefSeq and is a predicted model, not a curated record. The transcript has 5 exons. NCBI's taxonomy places the organism in Eukaryota, Metazoa, Chordata, Actinopteri, Acipenseriformes, Polyodontidae.